RNAcentral lists this ribosomal RNA (703 nucleotides) under uncultured bacterium. Its description in RNAcentral is "bacterial SSU rRNA". It matches the Rfam family "Bacterial small subunit ribosomal RNA", at positions 66 to 760 of the family's 1533-position model. The record is from RNAcentral.
ACGGCAGCACAGGGAGCUUGCUCCCGGGUGGCGAGUGGCGCACGGGUGAGUAAUACAUCGGAACGUGUCCUGUUGUGGGGGAUAACUGCUCGAAAGGGUGGCUAAUACCGCAUGAGACCUGAGGGUGAAAGCGGGGGAUCGCAAGACCUCGCGCAAUUGGAGCGGCCGAUGCCCGAUUGGCUAGUUGGUGAGGUAAAGGCUCACCAAGGCGACGAUCGGUAGCUGGUCUGAGAGGACGACCAGCCACACUGGGACUGAGACACGGCCCAGACUCCUACGGGAGGCAGCAGUGGGGAAUUUUGGACAAUGGGGGCAACCCUGAUCCAGCCAUGCCGCGUGCAGGAUGAAGGCCUUCGGGUUGUAAACUGCUUUUGUCAGGGACGAAAAGGACCGUGUUAAUACCAUGGUCUGCUGACGGUACCUGAAGAAUAAGCACCGGCUAACUACGUGCCAGCAGCCGCGGUAAUACGUAGGGUGCAAGCGUUAAUCGGAAUUACUGGGCGUAAAGCGUGCGCAGGCGGUUCUGUAAGACAGAUGUGAAAUCCCCGGGCUUAACCUGGGAAUUGCAUUUGUGACUGCAGGACUAGAGUUCAUCAGAGGGGGGUGGAAUUCCAAGUGUAGCAGUGAAAUGCGUAGAUAUUUGGAAGAACACCAAUGGCGAAGGCAGCCCCCUGGGAUGCGACUGACGCUCAUGCACGAAAGC